RNAcentral lists this long non-coding RNA (2421 nucleotides) under Solanum tuberosum (potato). Its description in RNAcentral is "long non-coding RNA (STUB_LNC000188)". The record is from RNAcentral. Lineage: Eukaryota; Viridiplantae; Streptophyta; Magnoliopsida; Solanales; Solanaceae.
CCAGAUUAUGAUUAACAAUUGCUAUUUGCUUAGGAGAGAGAUCUAAGAGCCAAAAAAGAACAAUGAAAAACUUCCUUGCAUCUCUUCAUCAUAUCUCUUCUUCCCGACUUCUCCUAAAGCUUGGGUUACGAGCUAAAUUAACUAUAUAGUUCGAGAUUUGAGGAAGAUGACCUAAAAACUUCGUCUCUUUUUCAAAUUAGAAACAUUGGUUGUUGCUAAAUCAAAAUAGCCUUCAGUUUGGGGAAUCUCAGUAGCUCCCAUCCAAGGUUCAAUUCUCCACCCACAUUGUAAUUUAAUCCCCAUUUUUCCUACCCCGAUUUUAUAAAAAAGAAAAAAAAAGAAUAGCCUUCAAUUCUCCCUAUUCACUUUCAAUAAUAUUUUUGCAGAGAAGCGUAUGCAUUCGAUACAGUUCUUUUACUAUUUUCAGCUUUCUUAACAGUUGCUUUUUGAUCUCUUUGUAGGUGCUGAUGUUUCAACAAACACUUAGAGCUUGUAAUCUUUAUGAUUGUGAACCUGAAGGUAUAUAUGAUUAAUUCCAGGUAUAUACUAUCAUAUUUUCCGGAAAGCAGUAGCAAGUUACUUUUUUUUCAUUGUUCCUUUUGGUAUUUUUUUCUUUGUUCUUCUUAUGAUAUUUAUAUGUUAUAUAUUCAAAUUUUCAUUUAGAUGGUGACUUUUGAUGAAAUAAUUUUUUUUUGAUGAAAAGAUGAUGGUGACUUAGAAUUAUAUGCUUGCGAAACUUUGAGGAUAGGAAGUUUUAUUCCACUUUUGGAUUUGAGUUGCUCAUAUGAACUUCCACAGAAGCUAUCGCAUUUAUCACUAGGUUUUAGAGGGUGACUCCAGCCCCACCUCUAUUUAGAUAUUGCAAUUUCAUUAAUGAAAAAUCAUAUGUAUAGGACCAACAGGGCCAGUGGCUAUGACUAAAAUAUAUUUUAGAAGUUCAUAGAGGUGUAUUUAGUAUUUACAAUUUAGGCUAUUUAGGCUUUAAACAAUUGUUUAAAUAUGUCAGAGAUGAAGUCAUAUUUGAGAAAUAUGUCAUAAGCUAUUUCCAAUUAUUCUAUUAUCCAUUGUUUUGACUCUUGGGAAGCAAUAAGAAUAAGAUUAAAGGAAGUAAGCACUAAAGUAUUGAAUAGAAAAACAUAGUUAUAAGAUGUGGCAUAGUUUUUUUCCUAAAGAAUAAUUGUCCGCCACAAUUAUAGAUGGAUAGCUUAAGUUGUAUGGAAUAAGAAUGUCAUCUAUUGUACCUUAUGUUUUCAAACACAAUUGGCAUGUGGGAGAAAGUCUUACCAUAUGACCUAAUCGAAUAAAUUACUAUCUAAUAUUUGCAGUAUUUUUCUUAAUCUAUGAGGGUAAAAGUUGCCUUGUUAUUUGGGACCAAGGGAUUGCUUGUUCUUCACUAAAUUAGUUGAUCUAUAAAAAGAGUACCUAUGAUGAAAUAACAAUCAGUUUAUUUUUUUUAAAAAUGAUUGGUGAAUGCCAAGAGAAUCCCAUGUUCUAGGGGUUUGGUUCAACAGUAAAUGUUGUGCUAUGUGGAACGCGAAAAUGUGCUAGGUGUACAUCACACGUUUGAAGUUUGGGUGUUAUAUCAAAUUUUGUAUUUAAUUGAAUAACAACAUUGUGAUAAAUCCAUUAUCUCAGUAGUUUCUCGGUCAUAAAAAAUAUUUGACGAGAGAGUCCACAAGAUCAUGCUGUUAGGACAAUGUUCCAAUUUCAGCUUCCAAUUUCGUUUUUAGAGGGUUGUACAGAGGUGAUAAAUGAUUUUAAGAUCCAUGGGUAUUUAUGCUUGUCAUGUCUCAUAAUCCAGGACUAUGUUGCUCGGACUCUUUAAAAAUGUCAAGAGGUGCAUGUCGGAUUCGCCAAAAGUAGUGCAUUUUUGAAGAAUUCAUUUGUAGUUUUCAUGAUUCAUUUUUCUUGAUAUUAGGCUCGAACAAGCAGAACAAAAUCGCUAAGAAAAUCUCGAGUACAUUUAGUUGUCAAGCGUCAUUGCUGAAGAACUUAUAGCAUGUCACCUAAUAUCUGAAAAAUUCUCAGAUAUAUUGCUCUUUUUUCCUGAAAUUUUUCAAUAGGGAAGCACCAUUCUUCAGGCGAUAUGGUAAUACCAUUAUCUACGAGCAACAAUAUCUAUAAAUGUAUAACAAUUUUUCAGAUGCUUCUCCUACAAAAUGAUCAGUUGAGCAUCUUUCGAAGAUCUGCAAUCAGCCAUACUGCAAAUGCAGUUGGUAUAAGCCUCUCGACGAUGCAUUCCAAAGUAACUUAGUAAGAAAUCCUUCUCCAUAACUCUUUAUGAGUUUAGUUGACCACAUAUUUUUUAUUUAAGUCAAACAAGUAACUGAUAGUAUUCCUACUUUUUUUUGAAUAUGUAGCCAAGAUUUUAAAAGCUAAGCUUAUAUAUGUCAUGUACAGGCAGGUAAUGGUAGAAACUCA